RNAcentral lists this transfer RNA (64 nucleotides) under Callimerus nigroapicalis. RNAcentral describes it as "tRNA-Gly". The record is from RNAcentral. Lineage: Eukaryota; Metazoa; Arthropoda; Insecta; Coleoptera; Cleridae.
AUUUAUAUAGUAUAAAUUAUUAUUUUUGACUUCCAAUCAAAGGAUCUAUAAUAUAGUAUAAAUA